CCUACGGGAGGCAGCAGUGAGGAAUAUUGGUCAAUGGGCGCGAGCCUGAACCAGCCAAGUAGCGUGAAGGAUGACUGCCCUACGGGUUGUAAACUUCUUUUAUAAAGGAAUAAAGUGAGGCAAGUGUGCCUUUUUGUAUGUACUUUAUGAAUAAGGAUCGGCUAACUCCGUGCCAGCAGCCGUGGUAAUACGGAGGAGCCGAAGGUUAUCCGGAUUUAGUGGGUUUAAAGGGAGCGUAGAUGGGUUGUUAAGUCAGUUGUGAAAGUUUGCGGCUCAACCGUAAAAUUGCAAUUGAUACUGGCAGUCUUGAGUACAGUUGAGGUAGGCGGAAUUCGUGGUGUAGCGGUGAAAUGCUUAGAUAUCACGAAGAACUCCGAUUGCGAAGGCAGCUUACUAAACUGCCACUGACAUUGAUGCUCGAAAGUGUGGGUAUCAAACAGGAUUAGCUACCCGUGUAGUC
RNAcentral lists this ribosomal RNA (460 nucleotides) under uncultured bacterium. RNAcentral's name for it is "partial 16S ribosomal RNA". It matches the Rfam family "Bacterial small subunit ribosomal RNA", at positions 338 to 795 of the family's 1533-position model. The record is from RNAcentral.